UCCAAUUUUCUCUCUUCGGGUCAAGACUGAGAACACAGGGAGAAAUUCUUCAAGUUCUUGCUUCCUUUGGAGUUCUCCACUCCAGAAAAGACAUUUCAGUUGUCCUGCACCUCUAGAUUGGGAGAUAGAAUCGUGGUUACCGGUCCAAGUGGGAGAGAAAUAGAGUAUGGAUGUUGAUUGGGCCAUAAGACCCCCGGAUGGAGAGCGACCAGUCUAUCCACCCAAGUCUGACUACUUCACAAUACUGCUCCACUACACACUUGGUGAUGUAAUGAAGUGGAGUGACCGUAGAUUCAGUGGAUAUGUUGACUAUUGUUGUGCCGACAAGAUGUCUAGGUUGGAAAUCAUGGCCAUGGCAAAGGAACUAAAUUUAGUUGUGCAAGGCUGUACAUUCUGGUGGCUAGAUGUUAUGAGUGAAAGGAUGGGGAUGAGAGAAAUAAAAGACGACGCAGAUGCUUUGGCAAUGGCCCAAACUGCUAAUCUUUGUAGAGAGAUAAAUGUUUAUGCUAAGGUUACCAGGGUGUUGAAUUCAACUUUAGAAAAAGAUGGUUCCUUAGAUGAAGAUGGGCAGAACAACAUGCUGGAAACUGAUGGACAUGUACAUGAAGAUACACAGAACAAUUUACCUGGCAAGGAUGGUGGCUUAGAAGAACAUAUACAGAACAACAAUGUGGACAGUGAUGGAUCCUUAGGAGAAGAUACAGAGAUAAACUUAUUGGAAAAGUGUCGUGGUUUUGAGGGUGAUGAUGCUGUUGUAGAAGAAGAGGGAGCUACACAGAAUGAUGUUCAAAACCAAGAGCAAGACCAAGAAGAAAUGGAUCAAGACAGUGGGCUAUAUGAUUCAGAAUAUAAUUUUAGCAGUGGAUAUGAUGAAUAAGUUGAGGGCGGUGGUGAUGCACAUGAGGCCAGUAGAAAAAAAAGGGAAGUAGAUAGUAGGGUAGAAGUCAAUGGUAGAGAUGAGGAUGAAAUUGAGAGUGAUUAUGAUUCUUCAGGUGAGCUACAUUCAUGUUCUUCCACUGAUGAUGAAAUGGUUGUUCUAAGUAGACCUAAAUAUGCAGAAUUUAUUGAGGAAUAUGACAUGAGAGAUCCUCAUUUCGAGGUUGGCAUGAAGUUUAGAAGUUUCAAGCAGUUCAGGGAGGAUGUCCGAAACUAUGGCAUUAAACACAUGGUUGUUAUGAAUUUUAAGCCAAGUAAUAGUAAGAGGUGCAAGGCAAUAUGCAAGAAAGGUUGCCCCUUCUAUAUAUGGGCUGCACCUAUGAUUAAAGACAAAAACACAAUUCAAAUCAAAUCAGGAAUAUUCAAACAUGAAUGUGCUAGGGAUCAUAAGAUAAGGCAUGUUAACGCAAAAUGGAUUGCACAUAACUACCUGGAGCAAUUCAGGGCUGAUCCUUCUUGGUCUAUUGCUGGGAUAAUUCAAGCAGUAAAAACUAAUGAAGAGGUGGACAUUAGCAGACUCAAGGCUUGGAGGGCCAGGGGUAUUGCAAGAAGUUUGCUAGAUGGUGAUGAAAUAAGUCAGAUAAAAAGCUUGUAUGACUACAGACUUGAACUAUUGCGCACACAUCCAGGAUCAACUAUAAAGUUCAAGUGCACUGAAGGUACAUUUCAAGGUAUGUAUGUAUGUUUGGCUCCAUUGAAGGCAGGGUUCUUGGCUAGCUGCCGACAAAUCAUCUCCUUAGAUGGAUGCUUUCUCAAAGGAUUAUUUGGAGGGCAACUCCUAUCUGCUGUAGGGAUAGAUGCAAAUGAUUGCAUCUAUCCCAUAGCAUGGGCAAGAGUGGAAAAAGAGAACCGCGAGAACUGGAGUUGGUUCUUGGAGCUGCUUGGUGGAGAUUUAGAAAUCAACAACAGUCAAUCUUGGGCCUUUAUGACUGACAGGCAAAAGGGUUUAUUACCUGCAAUAGAAGAAUUAUUCCCCGAUAGUGAGCACAGAUUUUGUGUUAGACAUAUACUCACC
Molecule: RNA transcript, 1951 nt
Organism: Dioscorea cayenensis subsp. rotundata (Guinea yam)
Lineage: Eukaryota; Viridiplantae; Streptophyta; Magnoliopsida; Dioscoreales; Dioscoreaceae
Exons: 4
Source: RefSeq, a predicted model, not a curated record